Entelurus aequoreus (snake pipefish) is the source of this 1750-nucleotide long non-coding RNA. RefSeq lists it as uncharacterized. The transcript is spliced from 3 exons. NCBI's taxonomy places the organism in Eukaryota, Metazoa, Chordata, Actinopteri, Syngnathiformes, Syngnathidae. The record is from RefSeq and is a predicted model, not a curated record.
CAAUUUGGGGGAUUUGGAUGCGCAGGGCUGGUCUGACACCACUCUGUUCGGAUCGCCCCUGGAGGGGGAGGAGGCAUCAGGGCGUGGGGAGUCACCAGAUGUCUGGACGCCGCUUCUGUCUGCCGCCGCCCUGCUCAACGUGGGGCUUUCAGCACCUGCAGCCUGGUUAGCAGCCGCGCCUUUAGCUGCAGGAGCCCCCCCGGCCUGCCGCUCCCGGCCGGUGGACACAGGAGAAUGUCCUCGGCUGCUUCUCCCUCCCCCUCCUCCUGCUGCUGCUUGCUUUGAGGCGACAGGUUUUGACGGGCUGCUCCCUUUCUGUGUCGCUUUAGACCCGCCGUCUUUGAGGCCGGCCGGGGAGGAAGAGCGCGGCUGCUUCCGGCUGCUAUUGUCGGCAGUGGGUGAUGGCUGCAUCAUGGUGUCAGAGGAUCAGCGCAUCCUCGGCAACAUCAUCAUCCCCUCCCUGCAACUGCAACUGCAACACAACAUCACCCUGCAGCUUCAGACUGAAUGUGUAGUCGGAUGCUGAAGGGUGGUGGUGAUGAAGGCAAGAGGGGGCGCCGACUCCACAGCCUCCCAUUCUCCAGCCACUUCUCUUGCAUAUUCAUGACAUUACAUCAUCGCUGCGAGGGCUGCUCUCAUUGGUUGGACUAAAAGGAACCAUGGAUGCCCCUCCCCUCAACCUUCCAAUCUAUUUACGCCCGAGGACCAUUCACUCCUAGGCUGCUUGAUAAUAGAUGACAGAUGUCUGCAUUGUGGAGGCUUCUAUGAACCAUGCAAGGUAACAACAAUGAUAGAGGUCUGUCUUCCAUACCUUUAUAUAUUUCAGUUUCAGUUUAUUUCAAACAUGCAUAAAAUACAAUUCCAAUGCAUCAGAUAUUUCCAGUUGUUUCAUCACAUCAUAUCUGAAAAAGAGUAGGAAGAAGCAGAGCUUAUUUAAUCCUACCCCUUUUCAUAUCAUAGCAGUUGUAUCCCAUUUAUUUGUCCUCUAUAUAUAAAUAGCUUGUUCCUUUCCUUGAUUUCACUUAAAAAAGGGAAAGUUCUUCAAAAAGACUCUUUUUCAUAACCUAACACUGCAUUCUGCUAAUUAUUUACACAUGACCUUUAAUUGGACACCUGCCAAAUGUUGCACACUUACUGGCUCUAGCUACACAAUAAUUCAGCCAUUAGACAUAAAUAUUGUUUUUCUUGAUGGACAAAUGUUAUUUUUACUAUGUUGAGUGUGAAUGUUGUCUGUCUAUCUGUGUUGGCCCUGCGAUGAGGUGGCGACUUGUCCAGGGUGUACCCCGCCUUUCGCCCGAGUGCAGCUGUGAUAGGCUCCAGCACCCCCCGCGACCCCGAGAGGGACAAGCGGUAGAAAAUGGAUGGAUGUUCUUACAGUGUUUACUGCUUUGAUGGGUUGGGUGCAGUGGUCAAAUUGUUACAAAGCUGGCACUAUGAACCAAAGUUGAAGAAAAACAUACAAUCUAAUGUUGUAACACUGCUGAAGGAUACCUCCCACUCAUUAUAUCUGCUGGGGACAUCUUAAAACACCCAUGUUACCACACGUUCUGUAACCUCACCCCCCCCCACACACACACACACACACACACACACACACACACACACACACACACACACACACACACACACACACACACACACACACACACACACGUACACACACAAGCAGACCUCAGCUGGUUCAAUGAAACAUUGGGGGGAAGGGGCUGAAAGAGUGGUCAUGGGAGGAGUUGGCAGGGUGAGGGUGUGG